AGGUAAAGCAAGAAAGGGCGUAUGGGGAAUGCCUAGGCACACUCCGGCGAAGAAGGACGCAGCAAACAGCGAAAUGCGACGGUGAGCGGUAAGCACGUGAAGAGCCGUCGAUAUCCGAAUGGGGGAACCCACACGGAGUCAUAUCCGUGUAUCACAUGUCGAAUACAUAGACAUGAUGAGGCGAGACGCAGGGAACUGAAACAUCUAAGUACCUGCAGGAAGAGAAAAUAACAUAGACAUGGAUGAGGCGAGACGCAGGGAACUGAAACAUCUAAGUACCUGCAGGAAGAGAAAAUAAGAAUGAUUUUCUGAGUAGCGGCGAGCGAAAGGGAAAGAGCCCAAACCGAUUUGAGGAUCGGGGUAGUAGGAUCAUCGAUAAAUCAAACAGAGGAUCAUAGAGGAAUCACAUGGGAAGGUGAGCGAGAGAGGGUGAGAGCCCCGUACUCGAAAUGAGAGACUGGAGAGAGAUGACACCUGAGUAGGGCGGGACACGAGAAAUCCUGUCUGAAUCAGCCGGGACCAUCCGGCAAGGCUAAAUACGAGAGAGUGACCGAUAGUGAACCAGUACCGUGAGGGAAAGGUGAAAAGGACCCCGGGAGGGGAGUGAAAGAGAACCUGAAACCCUGUGUACAAGAAGUCAGAGCCCGUUAAAGGGUGAUGGCGUGCCUUUUGUAGAAUGAACCGGCGAGUUACUGUAUGGAGCGAGGUUAAGCAGGAUAUGCGGAGCCGAAGCGAAAGCGAGUCUUAAGAGGGCGCGAGUUGCAUGCAGUAGACCCGAAACCGGGUGAUCUAGCCAUGACCAGGUUGAAGUUGGGGUAAAACCCGAUGGAGGACCGAACCGACCCCCGUUGAAACGUUGGCGGAUGAGUUGUGGCUAGGGGAGAAAUUCCAAUCGAACCCGGAGAUAGCUGGUUCUCCCCGAAAUAGCUUUAGGGCUAGCGUCGAGAGAAGAGUUGCGUGAAGGUAGAGCACUGAAUAUGUGAUGGCCCCAUCUCGGGGUACUGAGCAUAAUCAAACUGCGAAUGUCACGCCAACAUGCUCGGCAGUCAGACAGCGGGUGAUAAGGUCCGUUGUCAAGAGGGAAACAGCCCAGACCAUCAGCUAAGGUCCCAAAAUGUAUGCUAAGUGGAAAAGGAUGUGGAGAUGUACAGACAACUAGGAGGUUGGCUCAGAAGCAGCCAUCCUUUAAAGAGUGCGUAACAGCUCACUAGUCGAAUGACUCUGCGCCGAUAAUUUACCGGGGCUAAGCAUACUACCGAAGCUAUGGAUCCCAAGGGAUGGUAGGGGAGCGUUCCAUGAACGGAGAAGUACGACCGAAAGGACGUGUGGAGAUCAUGGAAGAGAGAAUGCCGGUGUGAGUAGCGGAACGUGGGUGAGAAUCCCACGCACCGAAAACCCAAGGUUCCAGAGGAAGGUUCGUCCGCUCUGGGUAAGUCGGGACCUAAGGCGAGGCCGAAAGGCGUAGUCGAUGGACAACAGGUAGAGAUUCCUGUACCCGUAUAUAUGUGAAGGAAUGACGGAGAGAGGAAGCUGCAGCCAGCGGCUGGAAGAGCUGGUGCAAGCGAGAUAUCGGGAUGGCAGGCAAAUCCACCAUCCGAAACGAGAAGGCGUGAAGCGUACGGAAAGCUACGGCGAGUACGGAAGGCAGUGGAGGAACUUCCAAGAAAAGUUUCUAACGUUAAGUAUAUAUGGCCCGUACCGAAAAUGGACACACAUGGGUGAGGAGAGAAUCCUAAGGUGAGCGAGAGAACUAUAGCUAAGGAACUCUGCAAAAUGACUCCGUAACUUAGGGAGAAGGAGUGCUCAUAGAGAUAUGAGCCGCAACUUAGGGAGAAGGAGUGCUCAUAGAGAUAUGAGCCGCAGUGAAACGGCCCAAGCGACUGUUUACCAAAACACAGCUCUCUGCUAAGCCGCAAGGCGAAGUAUAGGGGGUGACGCCUGCCCGGUGCUGGAAGGUUAAGAGGAAACGCAAGUGAAGCCCUGAACUGAAGCCCCAGUAAACGGCGGCCGUAACUAUAACGGUCCUAAGGUAGCGAAAUUCCUUGUCGGGUAAGUUCCUGACCCGCACGAAAGGCGUAACGAUUGGCGCUGUCUCAGCUGUAGACUCGGUGAAGUCUUAGUACCUGUGAAGAUGCAGGUUACCCGCGACAGACGGAAAGAC
Molecule: ribosomal RNA, 2161 nt
Filed under: Ruminococcus sp. AM45-2
Lineage: Bacteria; Bacillati; Bacillota; Clostridia; Eubacteriales; Oscillospiraceae
Description: partial 23S ribosomal RNA
Rfam family: Bacterial large subunit ribosomal RNA
Source: RNAcentral